CGGUAAUGCACCAUGACCGUCGUUAGCCAACCGCUAAUAACCAUCGAAGAAGAAGUCAGCCUCGCAGCAAAGCCAUUACUGAAGACUCUGAUUUCUGUUUUCACAGGAUGGAGAACUACAGCGACGACGAUGACUCUUCUACAGUCAAUGUUAACAAUGCCAAUCCUCCUAUUAAAUCUGAAGAUGCAGUGGAGUCAUCAGCACUUCGGUGCUCUUCUCUGUUGAUGGUGUUUUUGGGGUUGCUUUGUGCCAUACUGACUGCAAA
Poeciliopsis prolifica (blackstripe livebearer) is the source of this 265-nucleotide long non-coding RNA. RefSeq lists it as uncharacterized. The record is from RefSeq and is a predicted model, not a curated record. The transcript has 3 exons. NCBI's taxonomy places the organism in Eukaryota, Metazoa, Chordata, Actinopteri, Cyprinodontiformes, Poeciliidae.